This is a non-coding RNA of Schizosaccharomyces pombe (fission yeast), 392 nucleotides long. Lineage: Eukaryota; Fungi; Ascomycota; Schizosaccharomycetes; Schizosaccharomycetales; Schizosaccharomycetaceae. The record is from the annotation of a GenBank genome assembly.
AGCGGACGCUUCCAAUAAGCUUUUUGAAAACAGUGUCAGGAAUCUUUAUUGAGUCGAGAACAUCAACGUAAUAGUGAGGUUGUUCAUCUUGACUAAUCACGGCUUUAACAAAUUCAAGUCGUUGAGGAUCUUUAAGGUGUGAUUGUAUUUCAACUAUCCGUCGACAGAUGGCUUGCGAAAGAACAAUGUUAGAAGAAAGAAAAGAAAGAAGAGAGGUAAAACUAGUGUGGUUGAAACAAUUAACUAGCGCUUCCACCUCCCGCUUAGAAACGGUCUUAAAUUUCUCAGAGUUAAACUCAGAUAACUGUUCAAGCCUGGGAAGAAGUAUUUGCAUCUUUGCAUCUUCGACUUUACCAUGAACUCUUGUUAAAAUUUCUAAUAAUAAAACCCUA